This 257-nucleotide signal recognition particle RNA is filed under the name Microcaldota archaeon. RNAcentral's name for it is "signal recognition particle sRNA large type". It matches the Rfam family "Bacterial large signal recognition particle RNA". From Rfam's summary of the family: The signal recognition particle (SRP) is a universally conserved ribonucleoprotein involved in the co-translational targeting of proteins to membranes. The record is from RNAcentral. Lineage: Archaea; Nanobdellati; Microcaldota.
AGUAGGGAGGCGGGAAGCUAGGGGUUUCCCAUUCCGCAAAUCCCCUUCGGCGGGCCGCAUGCCAGUCGGUUGCAUUCGCGCAUGUAGGGCCUACGCCAAAGCGUCGAGGUCUUGCCUCCAGUGGCGGUCUCACGCAUGAACCGGGCCAGGCCGGAAGGAGCAACCCUAAGUGUGCGCGGCUGUGCUCUGGAGAUACAGGGCUGAGCAGAGGCGUAGCCAACCUUCCAUGCGUAAAUGUGGCUACUCUGGCUCCUGCU